UACAUAGGGGGCAAGCGUUGUCCGGAUUUAUUGGGCGUAAAGAGCGUGUAGGCGGCCAGGGAGGUCCGUUGUGAAAACUCGAGGCUCAACCUCGAGACGCCGAUGGAAACCCCCUGGCUAGAGUCCGGAAGAGGAGAAUGGAAUUCCUGGUGUAGCGGUGAAAUGCGCAGAUAUCAGGAAGAACACCCGUGGCUAAGGCGGUUCUCUAGUACGGUACUGACGCUGAGACGCGAAAGCGUGGGGAGCGAACAGG
RNAcentral lists this ribosomal RNA (253 nucleotides) under uncultured bacterium. RNAcentral's name for it is "partial 16S ribosomal RNA". It matches the Rfam family "Bacterial small subunit ribosomal RNA", at positions 524 to 776 of the family's 1533-position model. The record is from RNAcentral.